RNAcentral lists this long non-coding RNA (1202 nucleotides) under Equus asinus (donkey). RNAcentral's name for it is "lncRNA (ENSEASG00005028433.1)". Lineage: Eukaryota; Metazoa; Chordata; Mammalia; Perissodactyla; Equidae. The record is from RNAcentral.
GGAUGUGAGUCCAGAGCCCUGGCUGUCACUGUAACACCGGGUGGCUGAGGCAGGAACUCCCUGGGGGAGCUUUGGCUUGACUCUUUCUGGUGACACUGCACAGACGCCUGAAGAGGGCCACUCAGUUGAGGUCUGGCCACGCCUGCUUUGACCGGGCUGUGAGUGCUGCUGGCAGGGAUGUGCCUGCCUCUGGCUGGCUUUCAUCUCUGUGGGACAGCAAGGACAGGGCCUUUAGACUUCAGGAGGGAGUCCGCGCUCCGUCCUCAGAAGUUCAGUGGCUGGCAGCAAGCCCGGCAGCAGCACUUCCUCUGGACGAGCCUUUCCUGGGAGCGGCCUCUAUGGGAGGGCUGGCCCAUCCCUCCCAGAGCAGGGAAGAGGAGGGACUGGCAGAAACUGGCCGGGACUUCACUAGAGACAGCGGAAAAGAAAAGCCUUUUGUCAGAGAGAAACGGGCGCCCCUCUCCGCUCUGGCCAUGUGGCCUUAGAACAGAGGAUGUGACGGGCCUUUGCCAUCCCAGCCCCCCGGCCAUCAGGAGCAGAGCCUUUGUGACACACCUCAGCUUCUGCAAUAAAUGAGGGCUGAUGAUAAAUCAGGCAGCACAGAGACAAGGAAACUAAGGCCUCCUGGAGUUAACUUACUGGCUCAAGUCACUAAGAGACAGGAAGUAACUUUUUCCCCUCGACAUUUUUCAACAUGAGCCGAAAAUGUCUGGAAUUCAUCUUUCAAAGCCUAACUCAGGUUUGGCCAUCUCUUCAGGCUCACGCCAAAUUGAAGACUGGCCAUCAGCACCGAUGCCAAGGCACCCCACAGUCUACAGAAACGGUCUGAUGUCACCCCUGCAGCGAUUCCAGGACUCUGGUUUCCUGGGUCUGUCAUCCGGAUUGUCCCUGUGGGACUAACAGCCUGGGAAGCAGGGAGGACAACUAUUACCCACAGUGCUUUACCUAUGAGCACCUGUGCCAAUGUUCAUUUAGGAUAAAUUCUAAGAAAAAUUUCUCAGCUGAAGGGAAUGAACAUUUAAAUUUAAUAAAUAUUGCCAAAUCACCUUCUAAUAAUGUACCAAUUUGUACUUCGAGUAAUAAUGAGUUUCCCCUCACCCUCACAAACACAGCUUUCAACAAAUCUUUUGGACACUUUUUGUGAAUGAUGGAAAUUUCAGGUUUAUUUUGCAUUUUAUUUAAUUGGGAAUAAGAGUGAACAU